AACGCGAAGAACCUUACCAGCCCUUGACUUGGGGAGUGUGGGUCGCAGAGACGUGACCCUUCAGUUCGGCUGGCUCCCACACAGGUGCUGCAUGGCUGUCGUCAGCUCAUGUCGUGAGAUGUUGGGUUAAGUCCCGCAACGAGCGCAACCCUCAUCUUCAGUUGCCAUCAUUAAGUUGGGCACUCUGAAGAAACUGCCGGUGACAAGCCGGAGGAAGGCGGGGAUGACGUCAAGUCCUCAUGGCCCUUACGGGCUGGGCUACACACGUGCUACAAUGGCGGUGACAGUGGGAUGCAAGGGGGCGACCCCGCGCCAAUCUCAAAAAGCCGUCUCAGUUCGGAUUGUACUCUGCAACUCGAGUGCAUGAAGUCGGAAUCGCUAGUAAUCGUGGAUCAGCACGCCACGGUGAAUACGUUCCCGGGUCUUGUACACACCG
RNAcentral lists this ribosomal RNA (436 nucleotides) under uncultured bacterium. RNAcentral's name for it is "bacterial SSU rRNA". It matches the Rfam family "Bacterial small subunit ribosomal RNA", at positions 958 to 1392 of the family's 1533-position model. The record is from RNAcentral.